Molecule: non-coding RNA, 112 nt
Organism: Acanthosepion pharaonis
Lineage: Eukaryota; Metazoa; Mollusca; Cephalopoda; Sepiida; Sepiidae
Source: the annotation of a GenBank genome assembly
UUGGCCAUAUGACGGUGAAAUACCGUUUCCCGUACGAUAACCGAAGUUAAACAACGUCGAGCAUGGUCAGUACCUAAAUGGGUGACCGCUUGGGAAUAGCACUUGCUGCAAG